This 253-nucleotide ribosomal RNA is filed under the name uncultured bacterium. RNAcentral's name for it is "partial 16S ribosomal RNA". It matches the Rfam family "Bacterial small subunit ribosomal RNA", at positions 524 to 776 of the family's 1533-position model. The record is from RNAcentral.
UACGUAGGGGGCGAGCGUUGUCCGGAGUUACUGGGCGUAAAGCGCUUGUAGGCGGUCCACCAAGUUUGGGGUGACAGUUGCCGACUUAAUCGGCAAAGUGCCUCAAAGACUGGCGGACUUGAGGGCCACAGAGGGACAUGGAACUCCAGGUGUAGUGGUGAAAUGCGUAGAUAUCUGGAAGAACGCCAAAGGCGAAGGCAGUGUCCUGGGUGGUCGCUGACGCUGAGAGGCGAAAGCCAGGGGAGCGAACGGG